ACAACCCACAACGGCCAUGGCUCUUCUCUCACCAAAUUCAUCGAUCUAGAGCUGCCAUGGAGACUAGCAAAAGGCGAGAGCGGGUUUUUAGAGACUUCCAUUACCUUUUACCCGUUCCGAACUCGCUCAACACUCACCAUGAUGGAUCGGUAUCAGAGGGUAGAGAAACCGAGGCCAGAGCCGUCGAUCAACGAGAAUGAGAUUGGUAUAACCACUCAGGGGAGGAUGAGGAACUAAAUUAUUUAUGCUAUCACUCUGUUUCAGGCAUUCGGCUCAGGAUAAGUGGGUUUGUGUUUGCUUCCUUGGAGCUUCGGUUUUGGGCAUCGUAUUGAGGCCAGACUUUAGCUAGGACAAUAUUUGGCAUGAUUUACUAUAGAAGGGCAUUAAUGUUACAGAGUUUCCUGGAAAGAAGAUCUCUGGGAGGUAGGAGCCGGUGGACAUGAAUUGGGGGAUCAUUGUGUGGUUUUCUCAAAUGGUGAUAUUAGUGUUUGGUUUUCUUAUUUUAUUAAUAACUAAAUAACCCUAAAUUUAUUGCUUAUUAUUGUUGUUGCAGUUUUGUUUAGCAUUAGGAUAUGGGUUCAUUUCUAUUAGUGAAAAAGUACAUCGAUCCACUAUCUCUUUCUUGGAACAGAAUUGCUGAGAGUAUUUUUUUUUUUAAUAUACCAUUUAGCAUAUGAAGCAUGAGUUUUAAUAUGCAAUAGAAAGUUGAAGUGAUGAAUAUAAUCAACGCACCAUUAUGCAUCAGCAAUUGAAAUUAUGGUGCAUCUUCACUUUUCCAAGUCCUUGAUGCUGAAAAUUUUAUUUGCUGCCAAUCUACCGGAUCACUAUGUGGUUUUCUCAAAUGGUGAUAUUAGUGUUUGGUUUUCUUAUAAUUCUUGCUUAUCUAUCAUAGUUGUUGUUGAGAUUUUGUUUUCUUGAAUAAUAAAAGAAUUAUU
Molecule: non-coding RNA, 935 nt
Organism: Camellia sinensis
Lineage: Eukaryota; Viridiplantae; Streptophyta; Magnoliopsida; Ericales; Theaceae
Source: RefSeq, a predicted model, not a curated record